This 550-nucleotide ribosomal RNA is filed under the name uncultured bacterium. Its description in RNAcentral is "partial 16S ribosomal RNA". The record is from RNAcentral.
GGAGUUAGCCGGUGCUUCUUCUGCGAGUAACGUCACAGAUGUAAGGUAUUAACUUACACCCUUUCCUCCUCGCUGAAAGUGCUUUACAACCCGAAGGCCUUCUUCACACACGCGGCAUGGCUGCAUCAGGGUUUCCCCCAUUGUGCAAUAUUCCCCACUGCUGCCUCCCGUAGGAGUCUGGGCCGUGUCUCAGUCCCAGUGUGGCUGAUCAUCCUCUCAGACCAGCUAGGGAUCGUCGCCUAGGUGAGCCUUUACCUCACCUACUAGCUAAUCCCACCUGGGCUUAUCCAUCAGCGCAAGGCCCGAAGGUCCCCUGCUUUCCCCCGUAGGGCGUAUGCGGUAUUAGCAGUCGUUUCCAACUGUUAUCCCCCACAAAUGGGCAAAUUCCCAGGCAUUACUCACCCGUCCGCCGCUCGUCAUCUUCAAAAGCAAGCUUUUGAAAUGUUACCGCUCGACUUGCAUGUGUUAGGCCUGCCGCCAGCGUUCAAUCUGAGCCAGUANACUAACAACUCGUACGUACGUAGACGGCGGUGUCGACGACGGCCGAUAG